GAUGAACGCUGGCGGCGUGCCUAAUACAUGCAAGUCGAGCGAACGGACGAGAAGCUUGCUUCUCUGAUGUUAGCGGCGGACGGGUGAGUAACACGUGGAUAACCUACCUAUAAGACUGGGAUAACUUCGGGAAACCGGAGCUAGUACCGGAUAAUAUUUUGAACCGCAUGGUUCAAAAGUGAAAGACGGUCUUGCUGUCACUUAUAGAUGGAUCCGCGCUGCAUUAGCUAGUUGGUAAGGUAACGGCUUACCAAGGCAACGAUGCAUAGCCGACCUGAGAGGGUGAUCGGCCACACUGGAACUGAGACACGGUCCAGACUCCUACGGGAGGCAGCAGUAGGGAAUCUUCCGCAAUGGGCGAAAGCCUGACGGAGCAACGCCGCGUGAGUGAUGAAGGUCUUCGGAUCGUAAAACUCUGUUAUUAGGGAAGAACAUAUGUGUAAGUAACUGUGCACAUCUUGACGGUACCUAAUCAGAAAGCAACGGCUAACUACGUG
RNAcentral lists this ribosomal RNA (497 nucleotides) under uncultured bacterium. Its description in RNAcentral is "partial 16S ribosomal RNA". It matches the Rfam family "Bacterial small subunit ribosomal RNA", at positions 28 to 507 of the family's 1533-position model. The record is from RNAcentral.